GUUUGUUGAAGAAGCUGUAGAGAUCUGCUCCUCUGUCUGCAAAAGAAGACAAGUCUGCAAAUUAAGUCAGCAACUUGGAAGAAAGCUGCAUCUUCAUGGAUGAGAGAGCGUGGAAGCUCUUGGCUCUCGUGCGCGGCAGCAGAAUGAAGAUGUCACUUGUGACAAACUGGCUACUGUUGUGAGCACUCGGCCCAUCACUUACACUGUCAGUGUGUUUGUUUAUAUACAUCCAUGUUCUUGUGAACUCGGGAAUGCCUGGAAUCUGAGAUCUACAGCCACCCUGAGACUUCAGUCAUAAACCGUGAAGCCUCGAAGAGCGUGACUCCAUCCUAACAAUAAUCCUG
This 344-nucleotide long non-coding RNA is filed under the name Sinocyclocheilus anshuiensis. Its description in RNAcentral is "lncRNA (ENSSANG00000019548.1)". The record is from RNAcentral. Lineage: Eukaryota; Metazoa; Chordata; Actinopteri; Cypriniformes; Cyprinidae.